This 253-nucleotide ribosomal RNA is filed under the name uncultured bacterium. Its description in RNAcentral is "partial 16S ribosomal RNA". It matches the Rfam family "Bacterial small subunit ribosomal RNA", at positions 524 to 776 of the family's 1533-position model. The record is from RNAcentral.
UACGUAGGGGGCAAGCGUUGUCCGGAAUCAUUGGGCGUAAAGAGCGCGUAGGCGGCCCGAUAAGUCCGCUGUGAAAGUCAAGGGCUCAACCCUUGAAUGCCGGUGGAUACUGUCGGGCUAGAGUCCGGAAGAGGCGAGUGGAAUUCCUGGUGUAGCGGUGAAAUGCGCAGAUAUCAGGAAGAACACCAAUGGCGAAAGCAGCUCUCUGGGACGGUACUGACGCUGAGACGCGAAAGCGUGGGGAGCGAACAGG